This 497-nucleotide ribosomal RNA is filed under the name uncultured bacterium. Its description in RNAcentral is "partial 16S ribosomal RNA". It matches the Rfam family "Bacterial small subunit ribosomal RNA", at positions 28 to 507 of the family's 1533-position model. The record is from RNAcentral.
GAUGAACGCUGGCGGCGUGCCUAAUACAUGCAAGUCGAGCGAACGGACGAGAAGCUUGCUUCUCUGAUGUUAGCGGCGGACGGGUGAGUAACACGUGGAUAACCUACCUAUAAGACUGGGAUAACUUCGGGAAACCGGAGCUAAUACCGGAUAAUAUUUUGAACCGCAUGGUUCAAAAGUGAAAGACGGUCUUGCUGUCACUUAUAGAUGGAUCCGCGCUGCAUUAGCUAGUUGGUAAGGUAACGGCUUACCAAGGCAACGAUGCAUAGCCGACCUGAGAGGGUGAAGGGGCACACUGGCACUGAGACACGGUAGGGACACAUACGGGAGGCAGCAGUAGGGAAUCUUCCGCAAUGGGCGAAAGCAUGAAGGAGCAACGCCGCGUGAGUGAUGAAGGUCUUCGGAUCGUAAAACUCUGUUAUUAGGAAAGAAAAAAAGAGUAAGUAACUGUGCACAUCUUGACGGUACCUAAUCAGAAAGACAGGACUAGCUACGUG